Molecule: ribosomal RNA, 253 nt
Filed under: uncultured bacterium
Lineage: Bacteria
Description: partial 16S ribosomal RNA
Rfam family: Bacterial small subunit ribosomal RNA
Source: RNAcentral
UACGGAGGGUGCAAGCGUUAUUCGGAAUUAUUGGGCGUAAAGGGCGCGUAGGCGGCCUUAUAAGUCAGAUGUGAAAGCCCGGAGCUUAACUCCGGAAGUGCAUUUGAUACUGUAAGGCUUGAGUAUGGGAGAGGGUAGUGGAAUUCCUGGUGUAGAGGUGAAAUUCGUAGAUAUCAGGAGGAACACCGGUGGCGAAGGCGGCUACCUGGACCAAUACUGACGCUGAGGCGCGAAGGCGUGGGGAGCAAACAGG